AGAAGAACAUGUGAUGCUAUUCUUGUUGUUUCCAUUCUCUUCAAUCUAGGAAAAAUAUCUUCUUCGCGGACCUCGAGCUGGCCAUCUCCAUCAUUUUGAAUUUUCUUUGCAGACUCUAAAACACCAUCACUACAACACCCUUCCAAAUGAAUUAGCUUAAGGCAUGGACAUCCA
Long non-coding RNA from Ipomoea nil (Japanese morning glory), 174 nucleotides. RefSeq lists it as uncharacterized. The transcript has 2 exons. Lineage: Eukaryota; Viridiplantae; Streptophyta; Magnoliopsida; Solanales; Convolvulaceae. The record is from RefSeq and is a predicted model, not a curated record.